AUAUGAUUUUAAUAUUUCUAUCAUUCAUUCUAAUUCAGGAAAGCUACCAGCUACUACUAAGCGAUAUGUGCAAUGCAUACCCCUACCCAUUAUCUAUUUAAGUAUAGUAUAACCUAAUAGCCUAAUAACCAAAUUAAUUGUGUAACAAUAGAUAUUAUGUAGUAAGAUGGAAAUCGGAUGGCAAAUGAAAAAAGCGGCUGUUAGGAGAGGGAAAAACCGACAUCACGGUAUUUCUGAUCAGUAUA
This is a non-coding RNA of Cinara cedri, 245 nucleotides long. Lineage: Eukaryota; Metazoa; Arthropoda; Insecta; Hemiptera; Aphididae. The record is from the annotation of a GenBank genome assembly.